GGGUCAGUAGGUUGGUCGUGCCACCGGUACGUACUGGUCUCACCGAUUCCUCCUUCCUGAAGAACCGUAAUGCCAUUAAUUUGGUGUUGCGGGGAAACAGGACUGUCACUUUGAAAAAAUUAGAGUGUUUAAAGCAAGCUAACGCUUGAAUACAUUAGCAUGGAAUAAUGAAAUAGGACGAUCGAUCCUAUUUUGUUGGUUUCUAGGAUUGACGUA
RNAcentral lists this ribosomal RNA (216 nucleotides) under Glomeromycotina sp. RNAcentral's name for it is "partial small subunit ribosomal RNA". The stretch from base 46 to 216 matches the Rfam family "Eukaryotic small subunit ribosomal RNA", at positions 692 to 864 of the family's 1831-position model. The record is from RNAcentral. Lineage: Eukaryota; Fungi; Glomeromycota.